RNAcentral lists this ribosomal RNA (253 nucleotides) under uncultured bacterium. RNAcentral describes it as "partial 16S ribosomal RNA". It matches the Rfam family "Bacterial small subunit ribosomal RNA", at positions 524 to 776 of the family's 1533-position model. The record is from RNAcentral.
GACGAACCGUGCGAACGUUGUUCGGAAUCACUGGGUUUAAAGGGCGCGUAGGCGGGCUGUCAAGUCGGUGGUGAAAUCUUUCGGCUCAACCGGAAAAUUGCCUUCGAUACUGGCGGCCUGGAGGGAGGUAGGGGCAUGCGGAACUUCCGGUGGAGCGGUGAAAUGCGUAGAUAUCGGAAGGAACACCGAUGGCGAAAGCAGCGUGCUGGACCUUUUCUGACGCUGAGGCGCGAAAGCCAGGGGAGCAAACGGG